UCAGAUCUUGGUUCAAAAGAUGCGAUCGUAGACUUAAGUUUUCUUCUUUGUUACUUGAUUUGAGAAACUUGAGAUUGCUUCUACUGUUUUUCAUAAAAGAGAUACAUCAUAUUUAUUAUCAAAUAUCAAUUAUACGAAUACGAGAUUGAAAAGGAAGGAGGUGGUUAAGGUUUCGUUUUGUUUGGUUUUUCUUGUAUCUCUGUUUUGGUUCAUAACCUUUUGGGUGGGUUUUUCUUCUGUGUCUCUACUUUGCUCUGUUUCCUGGGCAUGGCUCUGUUUCUUUCAAUAUAUGACGUUAAAAAAAAAAAGGAAAGAGGUGGAAGACGAUGCUUCAUCUGACUUAAUUGAAAUUUUUAUUGAUUUUAUCAUUAGCUAAGAUUGGAUCCGUUGGGUUCCAUAUGCAGUAUCCAUUAGGGUUUAGUUUCAUUGAAUCUGUAGAUGGAUAUAGGCAGUGACAUAGUUAUGGUGAACAGAGUUUUGUGUUCUUCAACAAUGGCUUCCAUCAACACUCUCGUCUUCUUCUCACUUCGAAAUCAUUGCCAGAUCAAUCUUCAUUGUUAAUGAAAUCGUCUCCUUCUCGAUUCAUGUAUCCAGACGAGACGAGAGCAUUAUUGUUCUUCUCCGUUCGCUUUUAUUGACGAGGCUCGAUAUUGGGUUCUAUAUAUUGGAUUCAUCUCUAAAAUUGGAAGAUCAAUCUAUAGGGUUUAGAUAUUCUAUUUAUGAAAACAUGUUAAUUGGAUCUAUUGGAAGAAAAAGUUUUAAUGUGUUUUAUGAAGUUUCUGGAAAAAAAAAAAAGUAGAUCUCGAUGAAGAAGAAGAAGUGUGAUGAGUGAAAAAAAAAGGAAGGGUAAAAACGUCAAAUUUGAGCAUCUAAAGUACUAUUUUUCAAAACAAAUUCAGAAUGACCUAAAAUCAAAGUUUUUAACAAAGAAGUGCUUGUUUUGACAAUAACCCCUAAAAAUAAUGACAUAUUUUUUGACAAUGUGCUUUUUGUAGGUACAUAAAAAUUUCAAGUUAAAAAGCC
Molecule: small RNA, 1023 nt
Filed under: Arabidopsis thaliana (thale cress)
Lineage: Eukaryota; Viridiplantae; Streptophyta; Magnoliopsida; Brassicales; Brassicaceae
Description: putative long intergenic non-coding RNA
Source: RNAcentral